RNAcentral lists this ribosomal RNA (232 nucleotides) under uncultured bacterium. RNAcentral describes it as "partial 16S ribosomal RNA". It matches the Rfam family "Bacterial small subunit ribosomal RNA", at positions 99 to 334 of the family's 1533-position model. The record is from RNAcentral.
CGGACGGGUGAGUAAUGUCUGGGAAACUGCCUGAUGGAGGGGGAUAACUACUGGAAACGGUAGCUAAUACCGCAUAACGUUGCAAGACCAAAGAGGGGGACCUUAGGGCCUCUUGCCAUCGGAUGUGCCCAGAUGGGAUUAGCUAGUAGGUGGGGUAACGGCUCACCUAGGCGACGAUCCCUAGCUGGUCUGAGAGGAUGACCAGCCACACUGGAACUGAGACACGGUCCAG